This 63-nucleotide transfer RNA is filed under the name Prionopetalum kraepelini. Its description in RNAcentral is "tRNA-Phe". Lineage: Eukaryota; Metazoa; Arthropoda; Diplopoda; Spirostreptida; Odontopygidae. The record is from RNAcentral.
ACUUAGAUAGCUUAAUACAAAGCGUAGUUUUGAAGCAACUAAAAUGAUCCUGAUCUUUAAGUA